AUCACACCAACCAGCAGAGGCUUCAACAUCACCAUAAGUCAGGUAACUCUGAAAAACCAAGGAGAGUACUGGUGUGGGCUCAAAGAAAACACAAAAUAUUCCGGAGAGAACAAGAAUUAUUCAGCUGCUCUCAAGAAAAUCCAGCUGCUGGUUGAAGAUAUCAAAUACUUUAGAAAAUCCCGGACCACCGGUCACAACGUCUCAUACCACUGCAACUACGCAGACUCCCCAGCUGUUGUCGACUCGUUCAUCUGUAAGGGAGACGAUCCACGCGUGUGUCAGACCACCGUGAACUCCUCAACGCCUGAGAACGGAAGGUUUUCAAUGAAAGACGAGAAAGAUCAGAGAAAUAUCACAGUAACCAUGAGAGAGCUGACAGUGAAAGACAGCGGGUCGUACUGGUGUGGAGCAGAAACCUCCGAGAGAGAAGGCGGGAAAAUCUUCUUCAACAGACUCUCUCUGACAGUCGGGCCUGCACAGUCAUCCUCCUCAGCCUCUCCUUUAAUCCUGACGACUGAACCUUCUGUGGGGAGUCACAGCGGCUCUCAGGCCCACAUCAGUGUGGUCAUCUGUGUCGUCCUGGUGCUGCUGCUGCUGCUGCUUGUGCCAGUUUCAACUCUCAUUUACAAACGAUGUUCAGCGUCAAAAACCUCAGCAGCACCGAAUAGAAACAGCACCAAGGAGAUGAGUGGACAACCCAUAAUUCUGCAUACAGACCUCAUAAAGUACACAAUCCACACAAAUUCUGUUCCAAGUAAAUUUCAGACAACUUCUUUCCUUCUGUAA
RNAcentral lists this long non-coding RNA (786 nucleotides) under Salarias fasciatus (jewelled blenny). Its description in RNAcentral is "lncRNA (ENSSFAG00005004385.1)". The record is from RNAcentral. Lineage: Eukaryota; Metazoa; Chordata; Actinopteri; Blenniiformes; Blenniidae.